AUACCAUGCUGAAUAUACCGGUUCUCGUUAGAUCACCGAAGUCAAGCAUCAAUGGGCGCGGUCAGUACUAUUGGGUAAACAUUCUGGGAAAAAAAACUCGUGCCGU
This is a non-coding RNA of Caerostris darwini, 106 nucleotides long. The record is from the annotation of a GenBank genome assembly. NCBI's taxonomy places the organism in Eukaryota, Metazoa, Arthropoda, Arachnida, Araneae, Araneidae.